GCAUGUCGUAACUGGCAGCGCGGCACCUUCGAGUCUGGCGGCGAGUGGGCGGACGGGUGAAGGAUUAUGCAUCGGAAUCUGCCCCGACGUGGGCGCGAUAACUUGGGGAAACUCAAGCUAAUACCGCAUACGUACCAUUAACGGUGGAAAGCAGGCGGACCUUCCGGGCCUUGCGCGGCGCGGAUGAGCCGAUGCCUGCGAUUAGCAUAGUUGGCGGCGGUAAAGGCCCACCAAGGCGACGAUCCGUAGCUGGUCUGAGAGGAUGAUCAGCCACACCGGGACUCAUCGAGACACGGCCCGGACUCGCUACGGGAGGCAGCAGUGGGGAAUAUUGGACAAUGGGCGCAAGCCUGAUCCAGCAAUGCCGACGUGUGUGAAGAAGGCCUUCGGGUUGUAAAGCACUUGCUCAUAUCAGGAAAGAAAUCCCAUGGGUUAAUACCCUGUGGGUGAUGACGGUCACCUGAGGAAUAAGCACCGGCUAACCUUCGUGCCAGCAGACCGCGGUAAUACGAAGGGUGCAAGCGUUAAUCGGAAUCAUACUGGGCGUCUAAAGGGUGCGUAGGCGGUUCGUCUAAAGUUGCGAUGUGAAUAGCCCUGGGCUCAUACCUGGGAAUUGCCGCAUCCAAAACUGAGCGGAGCUUGGGAGUGCGGUAGAGGGAUGGUCGGAAUUCCCGGUUGUAGCGCGUGAAAUGCGUAGAGAUUCGGGAGGCACACAUCGAUGGCGAACAGGCAGCCAUCUGGACCAGCACUGACGCUGAGCGCACGAAUAAGCGUGGCGGAGCAAUACAGGAUUAGAUACCCUGGUAGCUCCACGCCCUAACACGAUGCGAACUGGAUGUUGUGGGCAACUAGGGCCCUCAGUAUCGAAGCUAACGCGUUAACUUCGCCGCCUGGGGAGUACGGUCGCAAGACUGAAACUCUCAGGAAUUGACGGGGGCCCGCACAAGCGGUGGAGUAUGUGGUUUAAUUCGAUGCAACGCGAAGAACAUCUUACCUGGCCUACUCAUGUCCGGAAUUCUGCAAGAGAUGCGGUUGUGCCUUCGGGAUCAAGAUCGGAACACAGCGGUGCUGCAUGGCUGUUCGAUCAGCUCGUGUCGGUGAGAUGUUCAGGGUUACAGUCCGACGCAACGAGCGCAACCCUUGGUCCCUAGUUGCCAGCACCGCUAAUGGUGGGAACUCUAGGGAGACCGCCGGUGACAACACCGGAGGGAAGGUGGGGAUGACGUCAGAGUCAUCAUGGCCCUUACGGCCAGGGCUACACACGUACUACAAUGGAACGUACAGAGGGUUGCGAUACCGCGAGGUGGAGCCAAUCCCAGAAUAACGUUUAUCAGUCCGGAUCGGAGUUGCAACUCGACUCCGUGAAGUUGGAAUCGCUAGUAAUCGGCAGAUCAGAAUGCUAGCGGUGAAUACCGUUCCCGGGCCUUGUACACACCGCCUCGUGCACACCAUGGGAGUGCGGCUGCUCCAGAUAGCUACGUUAGCCUAAACUGGUA
RNAcentral lists this ribosomal RNA (1496 nucleotides) under uncultured Pseudofulvimonas sp. Its description in RNAcentral is "bacterial SSU rRNA". It matches the Rfam family "Bacterial small subunit ribosomal RNA". Lineage: Bacteria; Pseudomonadati; Pseudomonadota; Gammaproteobacteria; Lysobacterales; Rhodanobacteraceae. The record is from RNAcentral.